CGUGAGAAUAAAGCGCGAACGUAAAUUUACUUCAGGCAUGAGUCGUAAAGUUACAUCAUGAGACCCCACGUAAAAAAAACACCGCGAGGUAAAUUUACCUCUUCUCUCUACUAUCUACUCUCGAAUCAGGAGGAAACCAACUCCAUGGAUCGUGGGAGGGCUCCGCCAUUUUCCACACCUCUCCUCCAGUCCACCAGCUCUACCCCUAAUUUGUCCAUCGUGCAGCCAUGACGGUUCCCUACAGACCAGUGGAGCGGUUCGCUAUAUCCUGUGGCCCGGAGCCGGCUCCGGUGGCUUUGCAGAAGGGAAGAUGUCGUCUAGCCGGCGGGGUCCAGCUGAAACUGAAGCGGCGGCGCCAAGUUGGGCCGCGAUCUCAGCCCAGGGCGGCGCUCGGCGCAUCGACGCACUCCACGAGCUCGAGCCAUUUUCAUGUCUCUCCUUCCCAUCCUUACCUCCAUGAUUGGAUCUGGAUUCAAAGAUUUCACCGGCUGCCGUUGAGUCGUCAUGGUCUAGGUAUGAUCGACCUCCUCUUCAAGUUUGGUCAAUGGCUCCUACUUCAUGCGCCCAUGAGCUCCAGCGCCGCCCCUUCCUCUCUUGAAUAUGGUCACCUGGGCACAUCCCCCCUGGUGACAUCCCUACCUAUUUUUCAACACUGAAGUUAUUUUGUUUUGACAAGAGUCAGUCAGAAUUUGUGUGUUAUGAGUUUGGCAUCUAAAUGGGGGUGGUAAGUUGUGACGGGACAGUGUUGUAAUGCGAGCAGAACGAAAUGACCAUGUUAUGAUAAAUAAAAAUUCUUAUGCUAAGGUCUUACAAUGUUAGAACAAGUCGAUGCAUUAUCUUUCUGAAAUCAGCAGCAAAAGUAUCAGUAGCUCAUUUUGUUGUGGGGAGCAGAGUUUAACAGUCAAUUACUUUUGUUUUUAGUGCUGCUUAGAAAUUUCCAUAACAUGUGUGAAGGCUAAUUUGAUUCUCAGUUCGUACAGUCACCUUGUUCUAUUUCAGUUCUGCAUCCUAAUCAGAUUUUGAGCUUGCUUGGUUUGUUCAAAAACCAGAUCAAAAAUUUUCAAGUGAAGAGAGAAAUUUAUUGACAUAGGAAAGUUCUCCACUAACACUCUUAAUUUUGAUACCUGCCAUGUAGGAAAGUUCUCCCCUAAAACUUUGAUUUCUCUGUAUUUCCUGUGUGUGUUAUGCAGUGGACAAGUGUGAAAAAGUUGUUGUAUAUAUGACAUGAAGAAGUUGAGGUAAUGUGUUGCAAACAUGAUGUUUUCCUAACAUCCAAUUAAUUUGGUUGCAGGACUCCACCACCACUACACAAUCACAUAUGGAGGCUACUAACUUAUUUGUAGAAUAAAGAGGCCAAUAUAUUUAAUCUUUUUAGGUAUACUUUGGAUUUAAGAAGAAGCUUAAUCAUUGUUAUUUUAUAUAUUUGACAGUUUUGACAUAAACUCUCUCACAUCUACUCAGUUGAUUUGAUUGGGAAGCUUAACGGUCUACGCGCUACUCCCUACCACUGUACAGCAGUAUUUUUGGCAGUUGCAGGGGUUCUACAGAUGCAGGGCCACCAAGGAAUGUGUUGCGAGGAAGCACGUGUGGAGUGGUGGUGCUGCAACACCGAGAUGCUCGUGUCACCGACUAGAACAAGGCAACAAAAAGAAUCAUAUGCAGUCACUCGACCUGUCGAUGCUUGCGCAAAUUCAGAAGCUUGACUGAAUCUGCCAAUGCUAGAAGAAGAUAGAAUAACUCUGAAUUUGUAUGCCAUAUAUGGAACAUGUCAUUCAGCCGAUUUUUGGUUAUUCAUCUGACAAAAUAUCUGGAUGCAAAUAAAUUUUUUAAUAAGGCCAAGAUUUCACUGCCAUA
Non-coding RNA from Triticum urartu, 1854 nucleotides. The record is from RefSeq and is a predicted model, not a curated record. NCBI's taxonomy places the organism in Eukaryota, Viridiplantae, Streptophyta, Magnoliopsida, Poales, Poaceae.